UUGAACGCUGGCGGCAUGCCUUACACAUGCCAGUCGAACGGCAGCACGGGUGCUUGCACCUGGUGGCGAGUGGCGAACGGGUGAGUAAUACAUCGGAACAUGUCCUGUAGUGGGGGAUAGCCCGGCGAAAGCCGGAUUAAUACCGCAUACGAUCUACGGAUGAAAGCGGGGGACCUUCGGGCCUCGCGCUAUAGGGUUGGCCGAUGGCUGAUUAGCUAGUUGGUGGGGUAAAGGCCUACCAAGGCGACGAUCAGUAGAUGGUCUGAGAGGACGACCAGCCACACUGGGACUGAGACACGGCCCAGACUCCUACGGGAGGCAGCAGUGGGGAAUUUUGGACAAUGGGCGAAAGCCUGAUCCAGCAAUGCCGCGUGUGUGAAGAAGGCCUUCGGGUUGUAAAGCACUUUUGUCCGGAAAGAAAUCCUUGGCUCUAAUACAGUCGGGGGAUGACGGUACCGGAAGAAUAAGCACCGGCUAACUACGUG
This 485-nucleotide ribosomal RNA is filed under the name uncultured bacterium. RNAcentral's name for it is "partial 16S ribosomal RNA". It matches the Rfam family "Bacterial small subunit ribosomal RNA", at positions 30 to 507 of the family's 1533-position model. The record is from RNAcentral.